AAUAUUGCGCAAUGGAGGAAACUCUGACGCAGCGACGCCGCGUGAGCGAUGAAGGUCUUCGGAUCGUAAAGCUCUGUCCUCAGGGAAGAAGAAAGUGACGGUACCUGAGGAGGAAGCCCCGGCUAACUACGUGCCAGCAGCCGCGGUAAUACGUAGGGGGCAAGCGUUGUCCGGAAUUAUUGGGCGUAAAGGGUGCGUAGGCGGCUAUAUAAGUCAGGUGUGAAAUACCAGUGCUUAACACUGGAAUUGCAUUUGAAACUGUGUAGCUUGAGUGCAGGAGAGGAAAGUGGAAUUCCUAGUGUAGCGGUGAAAUGCGUAGAGAUUAGGAGGAACACCAGUGGCGAAGGCGACUUUCUGGACUGUAACUGACGCUGAGGUACGAAAGCGUGGGGAGCAAAC
This 399-nucleotide ribosomal RNA is filed under the name uncultured bacterium. RNAcentral describes it as "partial 16S ribosomal RNA". It matches the Rfam family "Bacterial small subunit ribosomal RNA", at positions 360 to 773 of the family's 1533-position model. The record is from RNAcentral.